Molecule: ribosomal RNA, 476 nt
Filed under: uncultured bacterium
Lineage: Bacteria
Description: bacterial SSU rRNA
Rfam family: Bacterial small subunit ribosomal RNA
Source: RNAcentral
GAUGAACGCUGGCGGCGUGCUUAACACAUGCAAGUCGAGCGGGCAAUUUAUCUAGCACUGAUUACUUCAAAUGGAAAUCAUAAGUGUAAUCAUGAAUUUCUACCUUUAAUAAAGAAAAAGAAAUUCAUGUACGCAAAUAGUGAUAACACAUUUUAGUGGAGUGAUGAGUGCUGGAUAAAUUGCUAGCGGCGGACGGGUGCGUAACACGUGGGUAACCUGCCCCUAUCACUGGGAUAACACACUGAAAAGUGUGCUAAUACCAGAUAACAUAAGCUUUUGGCAUCAUUAGCUUAUCAAAGAAUUUCGGAUAGGGAUGGGCCCGCGUCUGAUUAGCUAGUUGGUGAGGUAACGGCUCACCAAGGCAACGAUCAGUAGCCGACCUGAGAGGGUGAUCGGCCACACUGGAACUGAGACACGGUCCAGACUCCUACGGGAGGCAGCAGUGGGGAAUAUUGGUCAAUGGACGAGAGUCUGAA